This 76-nucleotide transfer RNA is filed under the name Desulfobacteraceae bacterium. Its description in RNAcentral is "tRNA-Ala". It matches the Rfam family "tRNA". From Rfam's summary of the family: Transfer RNA (tRNA) molecules are approximately 80 nucleotides in length. Their secondary structure includes four short double-helical elements and three loops (D, anti-codon, and T loops). Lineage: Bacteria; Pseudomonadati; Thermodesulfobacteriota; Desulfobacteria; Desulfobacterales; Desulfobacteraceae. RNAcentral also lists the same sequence under 4 other names. The record is from RNAcentral.
GGGGCUGUAGCUCAGCUGGGAGAGCGACGCGUUCGCAAUGCGUAGGUCAGGGGUUCGAGCCCCCUCAGCUCCACCA